RNAcentral lists this unclassified non-coding RNA (24 nucleotides) under Mus musculus (house mouse). RNAcentral describes it as "oocyte_clustered_small_RNA5219". Lineage: Eukaryota; Metazoa; Chordata; Mammalia; Rodentia; Muridae. The record is from RNAcentral.
UUUUGAAUGAUACUGAUCUUUGCG